Hymenopellis radicata is the source of this 91-nucleotide non-coding RNA. NCBI's taxonomy places the organism in Eukaryota, Fungi, Basidiomycota, Agaricomycetes, Agaricales, Physalacriaceae. The record is from the annotation of a GenBank genome assembly.
UCCGAUAUGGUGUAACGGCUAACAUUGCCGCCUUUCAUGGCGUCUGACGUCAAGUACGCGGCAGCUCGGGGUUCGAUUCCCCGUAUCGGAA